CUCUCGGUCGGUGCUGUCUUUUUCUUUUCUUUUUCUUUUUCAAGGUUUUCUUCUUCAUGUACGUAGUCCCUAUAUAAUAUUGCUUGAACUUUGAUAUAGCUAGCACUUACAUAUCUCAGUUAGUACACCGAGUUCAAGAAUAUGGUCAAGUUUACAACUCUCUCUGUCUGUGUUUCUGUGCUUUUCUUCCUCCAUUUGGUGUUUUUUGUUCACGGGAAAGAUGAUACCAAUCAACUGCUGGUGGGCAAUGGAGAUUCUGCUCAUAUGGGAAGAGCAGAUCAUGAGUGUAGAGGCAAGGAGAGGGGAAAGUGCAAGAAAUUAGGAGAUGAAGAGUCAGAAGAGACUCUUUACGAGAAUGAGGACUACAUAUACACUCAAUCUAAUCCUUAGAUCAUAGUUAUUCUCUUUCGUGUAAUAUUGUAAUUUGUGAAUUUUCUGUUAAUUCAAUCAAUAAUGAAGCCUUGGUGUUAAGCUAGCAA
This is a long non-coding RNA of Populus trichocarpa (black cottonwood), 479 nucleotides long. RefSeq lists it as uncharacterized. The transcript is spliced from 2 exons. NCBI's taxonomy places the organism in Eukaryota, Viridiplantae, Streptophyta, Magnoliopsida, Malpighiales, Salicaceae. The record is from RefSeq and is a predicted model, not a curated record.